Coffea arabica (coffee) is the source of this 2175-nucleotide non-coding RNA. The record is from RefSeq and is a predicted model, not a curated record. Lineage: Eukaryota; Viridiplantae; Streptophyta; Magnoliopsida; Gentianales; Rubiaceae.
CAUUAGAGAGAUUCUUCACAAAGCACCAAAAACUUGUCCUUUAGUCUUUUACUUUCUUCCACUUUACUCCCCCUCUUUAUCACCUCCAACCUCCUACAACCAGCAUCAACUCAGACGACAUAUAUAGUCAUUGGACUACUAUAUCACCACCAAAAUUUUCAGCAUACUUGUCUAAGAAUCACACAUAUCGAAGACUGGCCAUUGCAAGUGUGCGAUUAAGAUUCACUUGGAGAAGUUCUGCGCCUUUCUUUUUCUCCCUAGCCAUCUCCAUCGAUGGCUUGCUCCGUAUCGUACAUUUUUUCAUUAGUCCAGUAAGCACAUUCCAAGACCGGUUCAAAUGAUUUGGGUGCUUGUGCAAGAAACUACUUCCUCAAGGUGUACACGAGAUGAAUGAUGAUUUCAAAGUAGUUGAUUGGAAAAACCACCAUACUUUAGAGGCAACCUUCAUUCCUUCAUUGCAACAUUGGUAGAGUGGCACGGGAAUGGUGCUUGGAACAAGCUACAAAAGGGUAGGUCCAACUAGUAUCACCUGUCCCUACAUAUGAAUGACAAGUGUUGAGUUAAUUUGAAGUGGGAGCAGUACCGAUCAAAGUACUACAGGUUAGAAACUGAGCGAAAGUUUUUGUAUGCCUAAAUGGGAUAUCCUGAUCAACCGCAGAGAUGAGAGUUGGAUUUAAUGCCAAUCGUUUAAUACCGACUUUUUGUGCUUCUAGGCUACAAAGGAAAAAUGGAGUGCUCUGAAGCGGGUAAACUUCUUAAUCUUCUACAUUUACCUACAAUCAAUUGACUACUAUACUGAAAUUUUAGUAGGUACAUAUGCCCUUUCUUAUAAAAGUUUAGCCUUUUGUCUGUUGCUUCUUCAAAUUUUUGGAAUACUUGUGGGGUUGUCUGUUUAUAAAGCUUAUUCAUAGUCAAGUCAUAGCUUGCUGAAUUGCUGUCAAUCUUCUUAUAAGGAAAACUAGAAUUAUGACAACUUGAAUUGCUACUUGGCUUUAUGAUUAAUUGCUUUAUUUGCCUUAGUUACAACUGCCAUGCUUAGUUAAUGUGUAAUAGCAAUUAAAGCUGUCUAAUCAUGUCUACUAAAAGCCUUAAUAGCAAGAGUAACUUGUAGAUUCUUUUGCUUAGGGGAUAAGAAUAUAAUACUUGUGUUGUUGUUGAACUAAAUAAGACACACAUACAGAUCUGCAUAUGUUGUCCUCUUUAUUUAUUCAAUAUACAUUAGGUUGCUCCUACUUUUGUGAGUGCAAGUUUAUAAUCCGAAGUACAUUAGGUUGCUUCUACUUGAAUUGUCCCUUGUUAUGGGUUCGACACACAGCUUGUAGGAAAACAAGACCGCAGUUGCAGUUGCUUCUUUGAAUUGAUUGAAAUUCUUGAGAGCCGAUCAGCCAAAGAAAGCAUGGCCAAUUUUCCACCCAGAGUGAGGUCCACCACUCUUCCUAGUCUACCGAAAAGACCAUCGAUGCUGGAUUGAGGCUCAAGGGCAAGGCAAAGGUAGAUGGGCCUACCUCAGACUUUUGGGAUGAAAAUGUGUACAUUCCUGUUUAGAACGAUGAAGUCAAGUUUGUUUCAAGCAAACUUGGUAAAUGACCAGCAUCAAUUCUGAGAACUUUAUCACAUGAUGGGUCUAGGGGCACUAAGUCUUAGAAGACCAAGAAAGCUCUACAAGAUGCAGGCACCAAUAUUAGAAAUCUCUCACAGAUCAAGAUUGAAAAAAACCUGAGAUGUAAUCAUUGGUAUGUAGUUGCAUUAAAGGUUUGGGACAAAAGCUACUCAAAACAUGAGCCUGUAGAACUUCGGAACAUGUAACGGCUAGCAUCUAUGAAGGAGUUCAAAAAGAAUGAGAGGUGGUGCCACAUGUUCCUCUAAUCAACUAAAAGCUUCCAAUUCUACUACACUCAUACCAUUCUAAACUCCAAACCCCCACAAGCCUAGGUAGAAUCGAGAAGUCAAAGUCAUGUAUAACAUGACCCAUUCUCGAUUGGGAUUGUCUGGAAGCGUGUCGUUGGUGAGCAAUUUUAGAUUAUUAGGCAUACUACUAAGCAUUCCUAGGCCUUCGGCUACUCUUUCUAAUUACGAUUUUUGAUGUGUACUUGUACUAUAAGUGUUGGCACUUCGAUUCACUUCUGUUUACAAACUGCAAGCUAUUAGGAAUUGAAUAUGUUGCCAUUUUAAAAA